AUGGACCGCGUCGUUCUGGACGGCCUUCUGGUUCGCGGGGGGCUACUGUUGGUCGGCGCGGUGGCUCGGCAGGUGGUGCUGCUCCUGCUGUUUUGCCGGAUCGGUCUGCUUCAUCUUGUCAUUCUCGCCCGUCUUCUCAGGUUGGUCACUUGGGGCGGGGUUCGACUUCUCCGCGGGUUGGUCGCUCUGGGCGGGGUUCGAUUUCUUCCCAUGUUUGUUUUGUGCGAUCUCCUGCUUCGGUGGAUCUUGCGGCGCAAUCUGGUGGUGAUGUUUCUGCUGGACGACGCAGGGAGGAGAUCCGGUUGGGCAAGCGUCCUGGCAUCGUCUCCACGGCCCUUUCUCGAUCUCCAAUUCUCCAUCGAAGUUGUGCUUUCUGUCCUUUUUCACGCACCACGAUCAAGCCAUGCGGGGAGCGCAACCGUCGAAGGCGAGCAGGUGAGGUUGAUCUUGACGGCGUCCUACUGCUCGCCGGCAAGACCGUCCCAUGGGGAGCGCCGCCUGUCUCUCCUCAGGCACGCAGCCUAUCCACUCCAGCGCCGGUUCCUCGUGCCUUUGGCGUCAUCGGGGCAUCACCGCCUCUCCCUAUGCCUCUUGCAUCAGGAGGGGCGGUGGUACGGUUUGGCUUUGGAAGCUGGCCAUCAAAUCCUGUUGUACAGUGUUGCUGAGAUGCAACACAAAAAUUUGAGUGGCGGUCUCAUGGUGGCCGUAGGGCCUCGACCUGCUCUUCGAUCCUUUUCUCUUUUCUUUCCUCCGAGAUGGAAUUGUGCUCCGUUCGCCACAUCCCCGAGCAUGCACCGCCAUGGUCGGAUCCUAGCGGCCUGCGGCCUUCCUUGGCGACAGGUGUCACGGUCCAUGGCGUUGGUGGAGGAGACGAUCGACACGGCGGGCAGCUACAACACGAAAUCCUGUAUGUUGAGAGCCUGGCCGUGA
Molecule: ribosomal RNA, 930 nt
Filed under: Triticum aestivum (bread wheat)
Lineage: Eukaryota; Viridiplantae; Streptophyta; Magnoliopsida; Poales; Poaceae
Description: partial small subunit ribosomal RNA
Source: RNAcentral